UACAUAGGUCGCGAGCGUUAUUCGGAUUUAUUGGGCGUAAAGAGAGCGCAGGCGGAUGAAUAAGUUCUGUGUUAAAAACAGCAGCUCAACUGUUGUUUGCGCCGAAUACUGUUCGUCUUGAAUACGGUAGAAAGUUUUGGAAUUGAAUGUGGAGCGGUGGAAUGUGUAGAUAUAUUCAAGAACACCAGAGGCGAAGGCGAAAACUUAGGCCGAUAUUGACGCUUAGGCUCGAAAGUGUGGGGAGCAAAUG
This 250-nucleotide ribosomal RNA is filed under the name uncultured Mycoplasma sp. Its description in RNAcentral is "partial 16S ribosomal RNA". It matches the Rfam family "Bacterial small subunit ribosomal RNA", at positions 524 to 774 of the family's 1533-position model. The record is from RNAcentral. Lineage: Bacteria; Bacillati; Mycoplasmatota; Mollicutes; Mycoplasmatales; Mycoplasmataceae.